Molecule: ribosomal RNA, 465 nt
Filed under: uncultured bacterium
Lineage: Bacteria
Description: partial 16S ribosomal RNA
Rfam family: Bacterial small subunit ribosomal RNA
Source: RNAcentral
CCUACGGGAGGCAGCAGUAGGGAAUUUUCGUCAAUGGGCGCAAGCCUGAACGAGCGAUGCCGCGUGAGUGAAGAAGGCCUUCGGGUCGUAAAGCUCUGUUGCGGGGGAAAAAAGGCAGCAUCAGGAAAUGGGUGCUGACUGAUGGUGCCCCGCCAGAAAGUCACGGCUAACUGCGUGCCAGCAGCCGCGGUAAUACGUAGGUGGCGAGCGUUAUCCGGAAGGAUUGGGCGUAACGGGUGCGCAGGCGGUACUGCAAGUCUGGAGUGAAACGCAUGAGCUCAACUCAUGCAUGGCGUUGGAAACUGGAGGACUGGAGAGCAGGAGAGGGCGGUGGAACUCCAUGUGUAGCGGUAAAAUGCGUAGAUAUAUGGAAGAACACCAGUGGCGAAGGCGGCCGCCUGGCCUGUUGCUGACGCUGAGGCACGAAAGCGUGGGGAGCAAAUAGGAUUAGAUACCCCAGUAGUC